GACGAACGCUGGCGGCGUGCUUAACACAUGCAAGUCGAACGGAAAGGCCCUGCUUUUGUGGGGUGCUCGUGUGGCGAACGGGUGAGUAACACGUGAGUAACCUGCCCUUGACUUUGGGAUAACUUCAGGAAACUGGGGCUAUUACCGGAUAGGAGCUCCUGCUGCAUGGUGUGGGUUGGAAAGUUUCGGCGGUUGGGGAUGGACUCGCGGCUUAUCAGCUUGUUGGUGAGGUAGUGGCUUACCAAGGCUUUGAAGGGUAGCCGGCCUGAGAGGGGGACCGGGCACAUUGGGACUGAGAGACGGCCCAGACUCCUACGGGAGGCAGCAGUGGGGAACAUUGCACAAUGGGCGGAAGCCUGAUGCAGAAACGCCGCGUGCGGGAUGACGGCCUUCGGGUUGUAAACCGCUUUCGCCGGUGACGAAGCGUGAGUGACGGUAAUGGGUAAAGAAGCACCGGCUAACUACGUG
RNAcentral lists this ribosomal RNA (468 nucleotides) under uncultured bacterium. Its description in RNAcentral is "partial 16S ribosomal RNA". It matches the Rfam family "Bacterial small subunit ribosomal RNA", at positions 28 to 507 of the family's 1533-position model. The record is from RNAcentral.